RNAcentral lists this transfer RNA (89 nucleotides) under Staphylococcus aureus. Its description in RNAcentral is "tRNA-Ser". It matches the Rfam family "tRNA". Rfam says of the family: Transfer RNA (tRNA) molecules are approximately 80 nucleotides in length. The record is from RNAcentral. Lineage: Bacteria; Bacillati; Bacillota; Bacilli; Caryophanales; Staphylococcaceae.
GGAAGGUUGUCCGAGCUGGCCAAAGGAGCACGCCUGGAAAGUGUGUAGGCGUCACAAGCGUCUCAAGGGUUCGAAUCCCUUACCUUCCG